Molecule: ribosomal RNA, 465 nt
Filed under: uncultured bacterium
Lineage: Bacteria
Description: partial 16S ribosomal RNA
Rfam family: Bacterial small subunit ribosomal RNA
Source: RNAcentral
GACGAACGCUGGCGGCGUGCUUAACACAUGCAAGUCGAACGGAAAGGCCCUGCUUGCAGGGUACUCGAGUGGCGAACGGGUGAGUAACACGUGGGUGAUCUGCCCUGCACUUCGGGAUAAGCCUGGGAAACUGGGUCUAAUACCGGAUAGGAGCCAUUUUUAGUGUGAUGGUUGGAAAGUUUUUUCGGUGUAGGAUGAGCUCGCGGCCUAUCAGCUUGUUGGUGGGGUAAUGGCCUACCAAGGCGGCGACGGGUAGCCGGCCUGAGAGGGUGGACGGCCACAUUGGGACUGAGAUACGGCCCAGACUCCUACGGGAGGCAGCAGUGGGGAAUAUUGAACAAUGGGCGCAAGCCUGAUGCAGCGACGCCGCGUGGGGGAUGACGGCCUUCGGGUUGUAGACUCCUUUCGCUAGGGACGAAGCUUUUUGUGACGGUACCUAGAUAAGAAGCACCGGCUAACUACGUG